AAUUUUGGACAAUGGGGGAAACCCUGAUCCAGCCAUCCUGCGUGUGUGAUGAAGGCCUUCGGGUUGUAAAGCACUUUUGACAGGGAAGAAAUAGCAGGGGCUAAUAUCCUCUGUGAAUGACGGUACCUGCAGAAUAAGCACCGGCUAACUACGUGACAGCAGACGGGGUAAUACGUAGGUUGCAAUCGUUAACCGGAAUUACUGGGCGUAAAGUGUACGCAGGCGGAUAGGAAAGAAAGAUGUGAAAUCCCAGGGCUCCACCUUGGAGCUGCAUUUUUAACUACCUAGCUAGAGUAUGUCAGAGGGGGGUAGAAUUCCACGUGUAGCAGUGAAAUGCGUAGAGAUGUGGAGGAAUACCGAUGGCGAAGGCAGCCCCCUGGGAUAAUACUGACGCUCAGGUACGAAAGCGUGGGGAGCAAACA
This 422-nucleotide ribosomal RNA is filed under the name uncultured bacterium. RNAcentral describes it as "partial 16S ribosomal RNA". It matches the Rfam family "Bacterial small subunit ribosomal RNA", at positions 360 to 774 of the family's 1533-position model. The record is from RNAcentral.